GUUUAAAUAGCUUAAUUAGAGCAUGACGUUGAAGGUGUCAGGGUGAUAGUUUAUCUUUAAAUG
This 63-nucleotide transfer RNA is filed under the name Spirula spirula. RNAcentral's name for it is "tRNA-Phe". Lineage: Eukaryota; Metazoa; Mollusca; Cephalopoda; Spirulida; Spirulidae. The record is from RNAcentral.